RNAcentral lists this ribosomal RNA (492 nucleotides) under uncultured bacterium. Its description in RNAcentral is "partial 16S ribosomal RNA". It matches the Rfam family "Bacterial small subunit ribosomal RNA", at positions 29 to 507 of the family's 1533-position model. The record is from RNAcentral.
AGUGAACGCUGGCGGUAGGCCUAACACAUGCAAGUCGAACGGCAGCACAGUAAGAGCUUGCUCUUACGGGUGGCGAGUGGCUGACGGGUGAGGAAUACAUCGGAAUCUACUUUUUCGUGGGGGAUAACGUAGGGAAACUUACGCUAAUACCGCAUACGACCUACUGGUGAAAGCAGGGGAUCUUCGGACCUUGCGCUAUUGAAUGAGCCGAUGUCGGAUUAGCUAGUUGGCGGGGUAAAGGCCCACCAAGGCGACGAUCCGUAGCUGGUCUGAGAGGAUGAUCAGCCACACUGGAACUGAGACACGGUCCAGACUCCUACGGGAGGCAGCAGUGGGGAAUAUUGGACAAUGGGCGCAAGCCUGAUCCAGCCAUACCGCGUGGGUGAAGAGGGCCUUCGGGUUGUAAAGCCCUUUUGUUGGGAAAGAAAAGCAGCAGGUUAAUACCCCGCUGUUCUGACGGUACCCAAAGAAUAAGCACCGGCUAACUUCGUG